AUACAUUUUAUAUAAAUGUAUUAUAUAUAUUUAUAUUAUAUAUAUAAGGGGCGGAUGUAGCCAAGUGGAUCAAGGCAGUGG
Molecule: transfer RNA, 81 nt
Filed under: Arnebia benthamii
Lineage: Eukaryota; Viridiplantae; Streptophyta; Magnoliopsida; Boraginales; Boraginaceae
Description: partial tRNA-His
Source: RNAcentral